CCCUUAGAUGUUCUGAACCGCACGCGUGUUACACUGAUGCAUUCAACGAGCUUUACCUUGGCCGAGAGGCCUGGGAAAUCUUUUUAGCAUGCAUCGUGAUAGGGAUUGAUUAUUGCAAUUAUUAAUCAUGAACGAGGAAUUCCUAGUAAACGCAUUUCAUCAAAAUGCAUUGAUUACGUCCCUGCCCUUUGUACACACCGCCCGUCGCACCUACCGAUUGAGUGGUCCGGUGAAGUCUCGAGAUUGUGGCAAUCUCCUUUAUUGGAGUUUGGCUGCGAGAACUUGCCUAAACCUUAUCACUUAGAGGAAGGUGAAGUCGUAACA
Molecule: ribosomal RNA, 324 nt
Filed under: uncultured eukaryote
Lineage: Eukaryota
Description: partial 18S ribosomal RNA
Rfam family: Eukaryotic small subunit ribosomal RNA
Source: RNAcentral